Neolamprologus brichardi is the source of this 94-nucleotide small nucleolar RNA. RefSeq annotates it as small nucleolar RNA U3. Lineage: Eukaryota; Metazoa; Chordata; Actinopteri; Cichliformes; Cichlidae. The record is from RefSeq and is a predicted model, not a curated record.
AAGACUAUACUUUCAGGGAUCAUUUCUAUAGUUUCUAACUUGAGGAAUGUGUUUCUAAAGUGUAUGGUCUCGCUAACCACGAUGAUGAGUCGUG